UGUCGAUGAAGAGCGCAGCCAACUGUGUGAAUUAAUGUGAACUGCAACCUGCUUUGAACAUCGACAACUUGAACGCACAUUGCGGCCACGGGUUAGCCUGUGGCCACGCCCGUCCGAGGGUCG
Molecule: ribosomal RNA, 123 nt
Filed under: Provitellus infibrova
Lineage: Eukaryota; Metazoa; Platyhelminthes; Trematoda; Plagiorchiida; Monorchiidae
Description: partial 5.8S ribosomal RNA
Rfam family: 5.8S ribosomal RNA
About the family: 5.8S ribosomal RNA (5.8S rRNA) is a component of the large subunit of the eukaryotic ribosome. It is transcribed by RNA polymerase I as part of the 45S precursor that also contains 18S and 28S rRNA.
Source: RNAcentral